RNAcentral lists this transfer RNA (76 nucleotides) under Desulfobulbaceae bacterium. Its description in RNAcentral is "tRNA-Gly". It matches the Rfam family "tRNA". Rfam says of the family: Transfer RNA (tRNA) molecules are approximately 80 nucleotides in length. Lineage: Bacteria; Pseudomonadati; Thermodesulfobacteriota; Desulfobulbia; Desulfobulbales; Desulfobulbaceae. The record is from RNAcentral.
GCGGGAAUAGCUCAAUUGGUAGAGCAUCAGCCUUCCAAGCUGAGGGCCGCGAGUUCGAGCCUCGUUUCCCGCUCCA